Molecule: ribosomal RNA, 397 nt
Filed under: uncultured bacterium
Lineage: Bacteria
Description: partial 16S ribosomal RNA
Rfam family: Bacterial small subunit ribosomal RNA
Source: RNAcentral
AUACGUAGGGGGCAAGCGUUAUCCGGAUUUACUGGGUGUAAAGGGAGCGUAGACGGAAGGCCAGGUCUGCUGUGAAAGCCCGCGGCGCAUCUUCGUGACUGCAUUGCAAACUGGUCAUCUGGAGGGCAGGAGGGGAAACCGGACUUCCUUGUGUAGCGGUGAAAUGCGUAGAUAUUAGGAGUAACAUCGGUGGCGAAGGCGGCUUACUGGACUGUAACUGACGUUGAGGCUCGAAAGCGUGGGGAGCAAACAGGAUUAGAUCCCCUGGUAGUCCACGCCGUAAACGAUGAAUACUAGGUGUCGGGUUUCUAUAGAGAUUCGGUGCCGCAGCAAACGCAAUAAGUAUUCCACCUGGGGAGUACGUUCGCAAGAAUGAAACUCAAAUGAAUUGACGGGG